UACAGAGGUCUCGAGCGUUAGGCGGAAUCACUGGGCUUAAAGCGUGUGUAGGCGGAUGCCUAAGUACCUUGUGAAAUCCCACGGCUCAACCGUGGAACUGCUGGGUAUACUGGUUGUCUUGAGCCAGCUAGGGGCGAGCGGAACAGACGGUGGAGCGGUGAAAUGCGUAGAUAUCGUCUGGAACGCCGAAGGUGAAAACAGCUCGCUGGGGCUGCGCUGACGCUGAGACACGAAAGCCAGGGGAGCGAACGGG
This 253-nucleotide ribosomal RNA is filed under the name uncultured bacterium. Its description in RNAcentral is "partial 16S ribosomal RNA". It matches the Rfam family "Bacterial small subunit ribosomal RNA", at positions 524 to 776 of the family's 1533-position model. The record is from RNAcentral.